Molecule: ribosomal RNA, 292 nt
Filed under: uncultured bacterium
Lineage: Bacteria
Description: partial 16S ribosomal RNA
Rfam family: Bacterial small subunit ribosomal RNA
Source: RNAcentral
GUGUCAGCAGCCGCGGUAAUACGGAGGGUGCAAGCGUUGUCCGGAUUUAUUGGGUUUAAAGGGUGCGUAGGCGGCCUUGUAAGUCAGUGGUGAAAGCCUCCAGCUCAACUGGAGAACUGCCAUUGAUACUGCAAGGCUUGAGUACAGACGAGGUUGGCGGAAUUGAUUGUGUAGCGGUGAAAUGCAUAGAUACAAUCAAGAACUCCGAUUGCGUAGGCAGCUAACUAGGCUGUAACUGACGCUGAGGCACGAAAGCGUGGGGAGCGAACAGGAUUAGAAACCCCCGUAGUCC